Leptidea sinapis is the source of this 387-nucleotide long non-coding RNA. RefSeq lists it as uncharacterized. Lineage: Eukaryota; Metazoa; Arthropoda; Insecta; Lepidoptera; Pieridae. The transcript is spliced from 2 exons. The record is from RefSeq and is a predicted model, not a curated record.
AUAAAAGAAUGAAAUAAGAAUCAUCCAUGCAGUUGUAUAAUUAACAAUGGAUAUAAAAAAGGUUAUAUUCCUACUCGUUGUGGUGUCCCUGUUAAAUGUGACAAAUUCAUUGGAUCUAUAUCGUGUCACGUUAAUUUUUACUAAAGUUACUGAUGGAAACAGCGAUGAUUGUUCAAACGGAUCCAAUACUUCAGCCAAUUCUGUGUCAGCUUCGGGUGAUUCUGCUGUAGCCAAUGUUGGCCAAGUUGUGAAUGAAAUUGAGGUUCCUGAUGACUCUUAAUCAAACACAUAUUUAUUUGAAUAAAGUGAAAUCCAAUUGAGGAAUGUAAAUCAAAUUUUCACUGUUUUGUUAUUUAAAUACUACUAUAAUAAAGAAUAUGAAAUGUA